This is a long non-coding RNA of Saccostrea cuccullata (small rock oyster), 485 nucleotides long. RefSeq lists it as uncharacterized. Lineage: Eukaryota; Metazoa; Mollusca; Bivalvia; Ostreida; Ostreidae. The record is from RefSeq and is a predicted model, not a curated record. The transcript is spliced from 3 exons.
UGUCAUAUUUUACAGAGAUCCAGGAGGUACUGAAAAAGGGACAAUGCUUCGACUGAAUGUGUCAUCCAUGUACCAGUAUAGACCUGUUAAUGAGGCAUAUCCAAUAAUUCUUAUACUCAUGAAGAGUGUGGCAACUCCCAAGUAGUUAAGGAUGGCACUCAUUUUAAAUCAGAUCCUCACUUCUAGGAUGUUUUCCAUGUUCUUGUGAAAAGUGUUUUACAUGGCACCAUUCAGCUACAAAUACUUUGCCGGUGGAACUGUGACAUCAAUCAACUGCUCAUGCCACUGCUAAUUGGCAGAAUUUCCUUUGGGACAUGCAAACUGUUUCAAAUAUUUUACACCUGCAAGUAGUGAUGAGUGUACUGGAAGUUUUUUCGGGAUCUUGUCUGACAUCAUAGGUACAACUGGUCACUGUGCUUUCUUGGUUAUAUAAGCAGGCAUAUUGUUAAAGCAGUGACACAUGUAGCUUCAAAUGAUGCUUGACU